Molecule: transfer RNA, 68 nt
Filed under: Marmota monax (woodchuck)
Lineage: Eukaryota; Metazoa; Chordata; Mammalia; Rodentia; Sciuridae
Description: tRNA.Ala
Rfam family: tRNA (bases 5-65)
About the family: Transfer RNA (tRNA) molecules are approximately 80 nucleotides in length. Their secondary structure includes four short double-helical elements and three loops (D, anti-codon, and T loops).
Source: RNAcentral
GGAUUGUGGCUCAGCGGUAGAGCGCUUGCCUAGCACGUGUGAGGCCCUGGGUUCAAUCCUCAGCACCA